CAUGCUCAGCCCAUACAUUAAAGAAUUUGAAAGUCUUUUUCCCAUGCCAGGAAGAUGAUGCUAGUGUCAUUAUCAUGGGAUUAUGGUCUGAGAUUAAAGGCAGGUCAUAAUCAGUUACCACUUGGUUCCAUUUGAUCAUCCAUUCAUAGUUACCAAAGACUCUGUCCAGUCUACUGCAUACUCUGUCCACACCAGUUUGUUUAUUUGUCCAUGUGUAAUAGUCACCCCUCCAAGGCAAUUCUGAC
RNAcentral lists this long non-coding RNA (245 nucleotides) under Nicotiana benthamiana. RNAcentral describes it as "long non-coding RNA (NBEN_LNC006751)". The record is from RNAcentral. Lineage: Eukaryota; Viridiplantae; Streptophyta; Magnoliopsida; Solanales; Solanaceae.